AUUGAACGCUGGCGGCAUGCCUUACACAUGCAAGUCGAACGGCAGCACGGGUGCUUGCACCUGGUGGCGAGUGGCGAACGGGUGAGUAAUACAUCGGAACAUGUCCUGUAGUGGGGGAUAGCCCGGCGAAAGCCGGAUUAAUACCGCAUACGAUCUACGGAUGAAAGCGGGGGGCCUGCGGGCCUCGCGCGAUAGGGGUGGCCGAUGGCUGAUUAGCUAGUUGGUGGGGUAAAGGGCUACCAAGGCGACGAUCCGUAUCUGGUCUGAGAGGACGACAAGCCACACUGGGACUGAGACACGGCCCAGACUCCUACGGGAGGCAGCAGUGGGGAAUUUUGGACAAUGGGCGAAAGCCUGAUCCAGCAAUGCCGCGUGUGUGAAGAAGGCCUUCGGGUUGUAAAGCACUUUUGUCCGGAAAGAAAUCCUUGGCCCUAAUACGGUCGGGGGAUGACGGUACCGGAAGAAUAAGCACCGGCUAACUACGUG
This 486-nucleotide ribosomal RNA is filed under the name uncultured bacterium. RNAcentral's name for it is "partial 16S ribosomal RNA". It matches the Rfam family "Bacterial small subunit ribosomal RNA", at positions 29 to 507 of the family's 1533-position model. The record is from RNAcentral.